AUACGUAGGGGGCGAGCGUUGUCCGGAAUGAUUGGGCGUAAAGGGCGCGUAGGCGGCCCGGUAAGUCUGGAGUGAAAGUCCUGUUUUUAAGAUGGGAAUUGCUUUGGAUACUGUCGGGCUUGAGUGCAGGAGAGGUAAGUGGAAUUCCCAGUGUAGCGGUGAAAUGCGUUGAGAUUGGGAGGAACACCAGUGGCGAAGGCGACUUACUGGACUGUAACGGACGCUGAGGAGCGAAAGUGUGGGGAGCAAACAGGAUUAGAUACCCUGGUAGUCCGCACUGUAAACGAUGAAUGCUAGGUGUAGGGGGUAUCGACCCUUCUGUGCCGCAGUCAAAACAAUAAGCAUUCCGCCUGGGGAGUUCGGCCGCAAGGUUGAAACUCAAAUGAAUUGACGGGG
RNAcentral lists this ribosomal RNA (396 nucleotides) under uncultured bacterium. Its description in RNAcentral is "partial 16S ribosomal RNA". It matches the Rfam family "Bacterial small subunit ribosomal RNA", at positions 523 to 918 of the family's 1533-position model. The record is from RNAcentral.